This 23-nucleotide non-coding RNA is filed under the name Cricetulus griseus (Chinese hamster). The record is from RNAcentral. Lineage: Eukaryota; Metazoa; Chordata; Mammalia; Rodentia; Cricetidae.
GUGUAAACGGAUAAUGGACAUGG